Molecule: long non-coding RNA, 500 nt
Filed under: Chinchilla lanigera (long-tailed chinchilla)
Lineage: Eukaryota; Metazoa; Chordata; Mammalia; Rodentia; Chinchillidae
Description: lncRNA (ENSCLAG00000023717.1)
Source: RNAcentral
AGCUCAGAAAAAAUUCUCUACCCAGCGGGGAGCCCAGGAGCAUUAGCUCGUGUUUACGUUGGCAGUGCGCGGUUCCACCAUUCCUUCAGUGCCUGACCUGUUUCUGCCAUGCUUGCAUCCCUCUCCAGCUCCAGGACAGAUCUGCGCAGGUCUUUGCCUGGCAUCAUCUUCUGAACCUCUUAGAAAGAAUUUUAUCCUAAGAGGCAACACCCUGGAAAUGUUGGGACUUGUCUGGCAAGAAAAGUAUGGAAAGAACACAGAGUGACUUUCACAGAAAUGGUCUGUGAAGGUAAGAGAGGCCCUGACAAUUUUUACGAGGUGGUGAAGCUGAUGGGAGGCCUACGAAUUAGGGGCUGAGCAGGAGGAAGAGGAGUGCAAACCCAGGCAUGGGCAAUUCGAGAAACACAGAGCUGGGGGACAGAAUAAGAAUACACAAGCUUGUCCUUCAGGUGAACACUUUACUUCAGACUUAAAACAUUUAGAGCUGGUGGCCCUUGGCA